Molecule: long non-coding RNA, 858 nt
Filed under: Homo sapiens (human)
Lineage: Eukaryota; Metazoa; Chordata; Mammalia; Primates; Hominidae
Description: HSALNT0370287
Source: RNAcentral
GGCCUUUUGGGAAGUGAUUAAGUCAUGAGGACUCCACCCUUAUGAAUGGAUUACUACCUGUAUAAAAGAGGCUUCAGAGAGAGUUUGCCCCUCUUGCCUUCCACCUGCUGCUAUAUGAGGACACAGCAGCAAGGUGCCAUCUUGGAAGCAGAGAACAGCCCUCGCCAGACACCAAAAUUGGUGGCUUCAGAACCGAAUGGUCACACUGUUUUCCAAAGUGACUGCACCAUUUCAUAUUUCUACCAGCAACAUCAUCAUCUUCCUUUUACAGAUGAAGAAACUCAUAUCAUGGAAAAGCAUGGAUGAAAUCCUCUGACCACCCUACAUUUAAAGGACCUUUAAAGAGAAAGAACUGACAGUGUAAGUGGAAAAAGAGCAACUGGAAGUAGCAGGAGAAGGAAAAACCAUUAUCAUACAACUGGUGGGAAGAAGGAAUGUCAAAAACAUCAGUGUGAAAAUAAUUGCAGUAAAACGUAGCUUGCUGCCGGUCCACUGAUGAUGCUCACCUGCAGGACUCAGCCCACCCAAUUUCUACCUGGAUCUUGUACUGGGGUGUGGGUGCCCCCCGCAGGAUUGCUUCCCCCAGGGGUCUGUGCUGAGGUACAAGAUCACCAGACUUACCUAGGGCAAAUGAAAGAAGUACAGCCAGGCAGGAUCUGAACUGUAUUGACCAGGGAAGUGAAAGUCAAAACUGUAGAGGUGGUUCCAAGCAUCAAGUUUGGUGAAGGAUGAGGUGAGAUGUCAACAGCAAGAUGCAUCAGCAGAGCAGAAGGAAGAAGGAAGCAGAACCCAAGGCAGCUUGAGGCAAGUUGACCAGAAGAGAGGAUAUGAAAUGGAUGGACGUGUCAGAGGUCCAUU